RNAcentral lists this ribosomal RNA (269 nucleotides) under uncultured prokaryote. RNAcentral describes it as "partial 16S ribosomal RNA". It matches the Rfam family "Bacterial small subunit ribosomal RNA", at positions 524 to 792 of the family's 1533-position model. The record is from RNAcentral.
GACGUAGGACGCAAGCGUUAUCCGGAUUUACUGGGCGUAAAGCGUCUGUAGGCGGGGAGAUAAGUUGGGCGUGAAAGCUCCGGGCUCAACCCGGAGAGUGCGUUCAAUACUGUUUACCUAGAGGAGGUCAGAGGGGAGCGGAAUUUCCGGUGUAGCGGUAAAAUGCGCAGAUAUCGGAAGGAACACCAGUGGCGAAGGCGGCUCCCUGGGGCCUUACUGACGCUGAGAGACGAAAGCUAGGGGAGCAAACAGGAUUAGAUACCCGCGUA